RNAcentral lists this ribosomal RNA (301 nucleotides) under uncultured bacterium. Its description in RNAcentral is "partial 16S ribosomal RNA". It matches the Rfam family "Bacterial small subunit ribosomal RNA", at positions 509 to 807 of the family's 1533-position model. The record is from RNAcentral.
CAGUCGCCACGGUAACACCGAGGGUGCGAGCGUUAAUCGGAUUUACUGGGCGUAAAGCGUGCGUAGGCGGCUAAUUGAGUCGGAUGUGAAAUCCCCGAGCUUAACUUGGGAAUUGCAUUCGAUACUGGUUAGCUAGAGUGUGGGAGAGGAUGGUAGAAUUCCAGGUGUAGCGGUGAAAUGCGUAGAGAUCUGGAGGAAUACCGAUGGCGAAGGCAGCCAUCUGGCCUAACACUGACGCUGAGGUACGAAAGCAUGGGGAGCAAACAGGAUUAGAUACCCCCGUAGUCCCUGUCUCUUAUAC